UCGAAGCAACGCGAAGAACCUUACCANNNCNUGACAUCCCGCUGCCCGCCUUAGAGAUAAGGCUUUCCCUUCGGGGACAGCGGUGACAGGUGGUGCAUGGUUGUCGUCAGCUCGUGUCGUGAGAUGUUGGGUUAAGUCCCGCAACGAGCGCAACCCUUGAUCUUAGUUGCCAGCAUUCAGUUGGGCACUCUAAGGUGACUGCCGGUGACAAACCGGAGGAAGGUGGGGAUGACGUCAAAUCAUCAUGCCCCUUAUGACCUGGGCUACACACGUGCUACAAUGGACGGUACAAAGGGCAGCCAACCCGCGAGGGGGAGCCAAUCCCAGAAAACCGUUCUCAGUUCGGAUUGCAGGCUGCAACUCGCCUGCAUGAAGCCGGAAUCGCUAGUAAUCGUGGAUCAGCAUGCCACGGUGAAUACGUUCCCGGGCCUUGUACACACCGCCCGUCACACCACGAGAGUUUGUAACACCCGAAGUCGGUGAGGUAACCCUUGUGGAGCCAGCCGCCGAAGGUGGGACAGAUGAUUGGGGUGAAGUCGUAACAAGGUAGCAAU
Molecule: ribosomal RNA, 554 nt
Filed under: uncultured Gammaproteobacteria bacterium
Lineage: Bacteria; Pseudomonadati; Pseudomonadota; Gammaproteobacteria
Description: bacterial SSU rRNA
Rfam family: Bacterial small subunit ribosomal RNA
Source: RNAcentral